Molecule: ribosomal RNA, 403 nt
Filed under: bacterium
Lineage: Bacteria
Description: partial 16S ribosomal RNA
Rfam family: Bacterial small subunit ribosomal RNA
Source: RNAcentral
UGGGGAAUAUUGCACAAUGGGGGAAACCCUGAUGCAGCGACGCCGCGUGAACGAAGAAGGUAUUCGUAUCGUAAAGUUCUGUCCUAUGGGAAGAUAAUGACAGUACCAUAGAAGAAAGCUCUGGCUAAAUACGUGCCAGCAGCCGCGGUAAUACGUAUGGAGCGAGCGUUGUCCGGAAUUAUUGGGCGUAAAGGGUACGCAGGCGGUUUAAUAAGUCGAAUGUUAAAGAUCGGGGCUCAACCCCGCAAAGCAUUGGAAACUGAUAAACUUGAGUAGUGGAGAGGAAAGUGGAAUUCCUAGUGUAGUGGUGAAAUACGUAGAUAUUAGGAGGAAUACCAGUAGCGAAGGCGACUUUCUGGACACAAACUGACGCUGAGGUACGAAAGCGUGGGGAGCAAACAGG